RNAcentral lists this transfer RNA (70 nucleotides) under Dipodomys ordii (Ord's kangaroo rat). It matches the Rfam family "tRNA". Rfam says of the family: Transfer RNA (tRNA) molecules are approximately 80 nucleotides in length. Their secondary structure includes four short double-helical elements and three loops (D, anti-codon, and T loops). Further hydrogen bonds mediate the characteristic L-shaped molecular structure. tRNAs have two regions of fundamental functional importance: the anti-codon, which is responsible for specific mRNA codon recognition, and the 3' end, to which the tRNAs corresponding amino acid is attached (by aminoacyl-tRNA synthetases). tRNAs cope with the degeneracy of the genetic code in two manners: having more than one tRNA (with a specific anti-codon) for a particular amino acid; and 'wobble' base-pairing, i.e. permitting non-standard base-pairing at the 3rd anti-codon position. The record is from Rfam by way of RNAcentral. Lineage: Eukaryota; Metazoa; Chordata; Mammalia; Rodentia; Heteromyidae.
GGAAAUGUGGCUUAGUGGUAGAGUGCUUGCCUAGAACACAUGAAGCCCUGGGUUCAAUUCCUCAGUACCA